RNAcentral lists this transfer RNA (79 nucleotides) under Pelagicoccus mobilis. RNAcentral's name for it is "tRNA-Lys". The record is from RNAcentral. Lineage: Bacteria; Pseudomonadati; Verrucomicrobiota; Opitutia; Puniceicoccales; Pelagicoccaceae.
GAAGGUGUAGUUCACAUGGGUUAAGAACCCCGGUCCUUUAAACCGGUUCGCGCGGACUCCCGAUCCGCCGCCUUCACCA